Long non-coding RNA from Nymphalis io (European peacock), 251 nucleotides. RefSeq lists it as uncharacterized. The transcript is spliced from 2 exons. The record is from RefSeq and is a predicted model, not a curated record. Lineage: Eukaryota; Metazoa; Arthropoda; Insecta; Lepidoptera; Nymphalidae.
UUUUCCAGUAUCAAAAUACGGACUAUCUGGUACACGCCAUGUAUUAUUGGAAGGUGCAUCUUUUCCACCUGAAAGAAGGUCAUAAAUAGUUCUAACUCUUGGUCAUAUGACUGCAUGGCUGUGUAUGCUGCGGAGUAAAGGAAUCUAUAGAAGAUAAUAUGCCUCUGCUGUUAAGAGAUCAAGACAUGGGUACUCUUGGAUUAAACACUCCUGGAGAACCAGUUGAUGUCGUAAUUCAAGGAAAAUGUAGA